This 250-nucleotide unclassified non-coding RNA is filed under the name uncultured fungus. RNAcentral describes it as "partial contains 5.8S ribosomal RNA, internal transcribed spacer 2, and large subunit ribosomal RNA". Lineage: Eukaryota; Fungi. The record is from RNAcentral.
AACGCAUAUUGCGCCCCCUGGUAUUCCGGAGGGCAUGCCUGUUCGAGCGUCAUUUCGACCCUCAAGCUUUGCUUGGUGUUGGGCGCCUUGUCUCCCAAGAUCCUGGAGACACGCCUCAAAAUCAACGGCGCCGGCGGUUCGGUCCGGAGCGCAGCAGAUCGCUGCUCCUGCACCUAUAGCCUGCUGGCUUCCGUAAGCCACAAAACCUAAACUUGACCUCGGAUCAGGCAGGGAUACCCGCUGAACUUAA